UAGAAAAAUAAGCUAAUUUAAAGCUAUUGGACUCAUAAUUCAAAUAUAGAUUAAUCUUUUUUCU
RNAcentral lists this transfer RNA (64 nucleotides) under Leptynoptera sulfurea. RNAcentral's name for it is "tRNA-Met". The record is from RNAcentral. Lineage: Eukaryota; Metazoa; Arthropoda; Insecta; Hemiptera; Triozidae.